This 640-nucleotide ribosomal RNA is filed under the name uncultured Lachnospiraceae bacterium. RNAcentral describes it as "bacterial SSU rRNA". It matches the Rfam family "Bacterial small subunit ribosomal RNA", at positions 60 to 705 of the family's 1533-position model. The record is from RNAcentral. Lineage: Bacteria; Bacillati; Bacillota; Clostridia; Lachnospirales; Lachnospiraceae.
AGCGAAGCACCUUGACGGAUUUCUUCGGAUUGAAGCCUUGGUGACUGAGCGGCGGACGGGUGAGUAACGCGUGGGUAACCUGCCUCAUACAGGGGGAUAACAGUUGGAAACGGCUGCUAAUACCGCAUAAGCGCACAGUACCGCAUGGUACCGUGUGAAAAACUCCGGUGGUAUGAGAUGGACCCGCGUCUGAUUAGGUAGUUGGUGGGGUAACGGCCUACCAAGCCGACGAUCAGUAGCCGACCUGAGAGGGUGACCGGCCACAUUGGGACUGAGACACGGCCCAAACUCCUACGGGAGGCAGCAGUGGGGAAUAUUGCACAAUGGGGGAAACCCUGAUGCAGCGACGCCGCGUGAGCGAUGAAGUAUUUCGGUAUGUAAAGCUCUAUCAGCAGGGAAGAAAAUGACGGUACCUGACUAAGAAGCCCCGGCUAACUACGUGCCAGCAGCCGCGGUAAUACGUAGGGGGCAAGCGUUAUCCGGAUUUACUGGGUGUAAAGGGAGCGUAGACGGCAUGGCAAGCCAGAUGUGAAAGCCCGGGGCUCAACCCCGGGACUGCAUUUGGAACUGUCAGGCUAGAGUGUCGGAGAGGAAAGCGGAAUUCCUAGUGUAGCGGUGAAAUGCGUAGAUAUUAGGAGGA